UGAGUCCUAAGAGGUCAUUUUUUCUUAUGCUGUCUUGAAUGUGUGUUGUUUAUGCUUUGUGUUCAUGUUUUCUUUUCAAAAAGCUCUUACCAUGCCUGCACUAACUAACCAGUAAGCGAAGCGGAGCAAGGGUGGAUGAAGCAGCUUGAUGAUUAAGAAGGAGAUAAUGGACUGUCAUUGCUCAUGCAAUCUAUUGAGGUAAUAAAUGGAGGAGGAGGGGCAGGAGUAGAAAAUUACGUCUGAGAGAGACGUUAACGGCGUCAACGAGGGGCGUCAAAGUUUGGGACCCACAAUUGGGCAUCAUCAUGAAAAUAUUAAAAUUUGUGUCAGGGAGGAUAGUGAAGAGACGGGACAAAUGACCUUCCCGAUGUGAAAAAAAGGGGCAAGGUAACUUUUUUCUUGCUAUUUCUCUGGUAGGAGUUGAAUCAGAGUACGAUGGGCAGUGGGCCCCAUUUGCAGUUAUAACAGAAGAUCCUUUCGCUUU
Tripterygium wilfordii is the source of this 484-nucleotide long non-coding RNA. RefSeq lists it as uncharacterized. The record is from RefSeq and is a predicted model, not a curated record. Lineage: Eukaryota; Viridiplantae; Streptophyta; Magnoliopsida; Celastrales; Celastraceae. The transcript has 2 exons.